GGCAACUCCAGGGGCCGGAGCGUCCUGGGUUCCGGAGCCGGGGAGAGCCAGGAGGUGGGGCUCCGCUGGCGAUGGAGCCGGCAGCCUAGCAGAGGGCCUGGCACACAGUAGGUGCUCGACCAGCUAACCGAAGCCCAGAGAGGCUAAGCAGCUUGCCCUGCAUCACCCAGCUGGCUGGGGUAAAGGCAGGAACGGCGCCUCCACACUGUUUCCUGGGUGCUGAGUUGCAAGGACCCGGUCCUGGGCCUCUGUCCCAGGGUGAGACCCAGUGCUUCUGGAUCUGAUUCUGUAGUCACCACUGCCCCUCCCCAGCCUGAGCACGGCCUGGGCCCCUGACUGUGGACACGUCCCCGCUGGCCACGGCCUCCAAUCAGCCUCCAGCCGGGUCCUUCCCGCCAAGUGUUACUCUCCCCACACGUCAGAGGGGGACAGUUACGCUGACACCUUCGCAUGCCUAGCAUCAGCCUGGGCAUCGGGGUGCACCCCCGGGUGGCCAGACCAGCCCCACUCAGGAGAACUCCAAGAUGUUGACUGGCCCAAGACUCAGUCAGAAGAGGGUCCCGCCCAAGAUGCAAACCCAGACACCUUCUGAUCCAUCAGGACCUCCAUCCC
Pteropus alecto (black flying fox) is the source of this 612-nucleotide long non-coding RNA. RefSeq lists it as uncharacterized. The transcript has 5 exons. NCBI's taxonomy places the organism in Eukaryota, Metazoa, Chordata, Mammalia, Chiroptera, Pteropodidae. The record is from RefSeq and is a predicted model, not a curated record.